GACAGAGGGUGCGAACGUUGUUCGGAAUUAUUGGGCGUAAAGGGUGCGUAGGCGGUCUGACAAGUCUGAUGUGAAAUCUAUGGGCUCAACCCAUAGUCUGCAUCGGAAACUGUCGGGCUGGAGUAUGGGAGAGGUGAGUGGAAUUUCCGGUGUAGCGGUGAAAUGCGUAGAUAUCGGAAGGAACACCUGUGGCGAAAGCGGCUCACUGGACCAUUACUGACGCUGAUGCACGAAAGCUAGGGGAGCAAACAGG
Molecule: ribosomal RNA, 253 nt
Filed under: uncultured bacterium
Lineage: Bacteria
Description: partial 16S ribosomal RNA
Rfam family: Bacterial small subunit ribosomal RNA
Source: RNAcentral